GGCAGACACAAAGGAGGUGGCGUAAUGGGCAUGGAGAUCCUGGUGUUGGAAGAAGAAGAUGAGCAGCCAAAUACUUCUAGGAAUGAUGAAACUCGCGGCCGCCGAGAGGCCACCUCAAGGUGGUGGUGGAGCUGCUCCGGCACCUUGACGCCCAGGGCGUCGGUGAAGAAUAGGUCGGGGUACAAUGCCCUAUAUGUCGUGGCCAGAGAAGGACAUCACGGUGAGUUUGAUCCUGACCUCUUUGCUGUGAGUUGCAUGUCCCUCCGGUAAAUUGUGGUGCCUUGAGCUUUGGAACUGUGUGAUUUUCUGUUUGUUGGUUUUGUAGCGACAUACUUGGUACAUACUAGCAGUUUGUUUGGUUCAGGAUCUGGAAAUGUAUGUAAAAAUGUACAUAAUAGUAUAGUUGUGAACUGCAAUACAAAGCUUGGCAUAGCUUCCUUUUGCAAUUAGCUGUCAUUUGGGGAAAGACAUUUGUAAUAGGAUGACUCGCAUAUCAACACUAACUUAUAGUGAGAGUCCGAUAUUUUGCACUGCCGUCCACCCAGAACAUCCUUAAGUAGGUUUCAACUAAUUGGGAUACAAAUUACAGAACAUAGAUCACUCAAUGUUUUAGUCUGUACAACUCCUUGCUGAUUGAUUUCUUCAUUUUCAAAUGAAUUUUAGGUGUUAAAAUCUCUUCGCUUGUUUCUGACCUUAGUGUAUGUCUGUUUACAAGAGAUUGAGCUAUUACACAUCAAAGACUGGGAUAAUCGAGUAAACUGCCGUGCAAAAUAGGAAAAAGUAUUAGGAUAGGAUCACUUGCAAAAGUUUGGUGCAUGAUCUGGAUAUUGGGCAUGCACUGCAUGUUUGUAUGAUGACUCCAGACACCUAUAAUUGUAGAUUCACAUCAAAUUUGUGUGCCUUUGAUGUGUUUAUGCAAAUCCUAGAUACCUUGCUUCCAAUAGAACAACCAGUCAUCACUUUCUAAUUUUAGAAUGGUAAUGGUGAAACUGGUGUAAUCGAUAAUUCAUUUGUAUCCAGGAUAAGCUAGCAUAGUGUAUUAACAUAUGCUCACUCCUGUAUUAUUCAUUGUAUGCUUAUGUUGCCUAUUAGUUAUGUAGGACACUCGUGAGAGCUGUGCCUGUGUUGCACUGUUGCUAAUGUAAUAGCUUUUGAGUCACAUGCCUGUCACCGUCGCAAAGUGCAAGAAGAAAUCUCCGAGGAAGAUCCAUGAAGCCGAGAGGGAGAAGGAUGAGCGUGACCUGUUCAAUUAUCUUUUCGGUGAACUUGGCGAAAUAGGUGUGCAUCAAUCACUAACCUCGACACCUCGUAGAUUAUGUCAGAGCCAGCAUGCUUUAGUUACCAUGUCUCUGAAUUUCGGGGGUCGUUUCCUUUUCCAUGUGGUUAUUUGGAAUGUUAGAGCUAAGCAUGGGUAUGUCUGAAUCUGCAUCAUCUUGUUACCAUCCAUUUGCAUGUGAUGCUUUCGCGGUGAAUACUGGGGUUCAGUAUGUGUCAUGGAUUUCCUUAGCUAGAUCCCAGUGAAUGUUUAUGCUAAUGAAAAUGUGUAUGAACCCAUUCAAAAUUAGUAACACCAGAAGACCUCUCGACGUUUGUUGGCGAUUCAUUACGUUAGGCAUACUUGUCAACAUAUAAAAUUGUGUAUUGCCUGCAUCCAUUAACAAUGGUUUUCUAAUGCAUCUGUCUCACCCAUGCAUCUUGCAUCAAGUUGUAUGUGUGUUGGAGUCUAUUGCUUCUUAUAUUGCACCGUGUGUGUCGUGGGGUCGAGGAAAAGGCCGGCACCGACGUCGACGUGCACACACUGACGCAACCUCGAGCCGACCCACGUGGCGGGCGCGCGUGGGCUGGAAGCAGGACACGAUGUUCUUGGUAUGGAGAAAGGGAGAAGAGAGAGGCCACAGACCGGUGUGCUGAUGAGCCCCCAUCAUAGGGUACUACAACCAUUUUGGUUAGCUGCAAGGAUGAAGACAAUGGGGAAAGAAUGCAAAGAUAUUCAGUGAAGCCGCAGAUCUAGCGUUUGGAGAACUAUGGACAAGCCAUGUACAAGUACAUAGGUUGCUGCGUACACAGAAAGAACAAAUGAAACGGGCUUGCAGAUUUAGUUUUCAUUUGCACGUCAUCAAAGCUAAUGCUUCCUGUUAAAACAAUGGCCCCUGCAACAAGGUAACAAGUCUCUGCCUCAACCGAUCUCCUUCGCCAGUUUAUAUGCAGAUGGAGGUCGCACGAACAGAAAGACAAUGGUGUCCAGGCUUUGGUUGCAGUGCGUUCCAGGAUGGGAACCUCUUUUAUUUUGUUUCCAGUUUCACUUUUUUAGAACA
This is a non-coding RNA of Triticum urartu, 2315 nucleotides long. The record is from RefSeq and is a predicted model, not a curated record. NCBI's taxonomy places the organism in Eukaryota, Viridiplantae, Streptophyta, Magnoliopsida, Poales, Poaceae.